UACGAAGGGAGCUAGCGUUGUUCGGAAUCACUGGGCGUAAAGCGCACGUAGGCGGAUUUGCCAGUCAGGGGUGAAAUCCCGGGGCUCAACCUCGGAACUGCCUUUGAUACAACAAGUCUUGAGUUCGAGAGAGGUGGGUGGAAUUCCUAGUGUAGAGGUGAAAUUCGUAGAUAUUAGGAAGAACACCGGUGGCGAAGGCGGCCCACUGGCUCGACACUGACGCUGAGGUGCGAAAGCGUGGGGAGCAAACAGG
Molecule: ribosomal RNA, 253 nt
Filed under: uncultured bacterium
Lineage: Bacteria
Description: partial 16S ribosomal RNA
Rfam family: Bacterial small subunit ribosomal RNA
Source: RNAcentral